RNAcentral lists this ribosomal RNA (465 nucleotides) under Vreelandella stevensii. RNAcentral's name for it is "partial 16S ribosomal RNA". It matches the Rfam family "Bacterial small subunit ribosomal RNA", at positions 338 to 795 of the family's 1533-position model. Lineage: Bacteria; Pseudomonadati; Pseudomonadota; Gammaproteobacteria; Oceanospirillales; Halomonadaceae. The record is from RNAcentral.
CCUACGGGAGGCUGCAGUGGGGAAUAUUGGACAAUGGGCGAAAGCCUGAUCCAGCCAUGCCGCGUGUGUGAAGAAGGCCUUCGGGUUGUAAAGCACUUUCAGUGGGGAAGAAAGCCUUGGGGCUAAUACCCUCGAGGAAGGACAUCACCCACAGAAGAAGCACCGGCUAACUCCGUGCCAGCAGCCGCGGUAAUACGGAGGGUGCGGGCGUUAAUCGGAAUUACUGGGCGUAAAGCGCGCGUAGGCGGUCUGAUAAGCCGGUUGUGAAAGCCCCGGGCUCAACCUGGGAACGGCAUCCGGAACUGUCAGGCUAGAGUGCAGGAGAGGAAGGUAGAAUUCCCGGUGUAGCGGUGAAAUGCGUAGAGAUCGGGAGGAAUACCAGUGGCGAAGGCGGCCUUCUGGACUGACACUGACGCUGAGGUGCGAAAGCGUGGGUAGCAAACAGGAUUAGAUACCCUAGUAGUC